UACGAAGGGGGCUAGCGUUGCUCGGAAUCACUGGGCGUAAAGCGCACGUAGGCGGCUUUUUAAGUCAGAGGUGAAAUCCUGGAGCUCAACUCCAGAACUGCCUUUGAUACUGGAGAGCUUGAGUCCGGGAGAGGUGAGUGGAACUGCGAGUGUAGAGGUGAAAUGCGUAGAUAUUCGCAAGAACACCAGUGGCGAAGGCGGCUCACUGGCCCGGUACUGACGCUGAGGUGCGAAAGCGUGGGGAGCAAACAGG
RNAcentral lists this ribosomal RNA (253 nucleotides) under uncultured bacterium. Its description in RNAcentral is "partial 16S ribosomal RNA". It matches the Rfam family "Bacterial small subunit ribosomal RNA", at positions 524 to 776 of the family's 1533-position model. The record is from RNAcentral.